AUUGAACGCUGGCGGCAGGCCUAACACAUGCAAGUCGAGCGGAUGAAGGGAGCUUGCUCCUGGAUUCAGCGGCGGACGGGUGAGUAAUGCCUAGGAAUCUGCCUGGUAGUGGGGGAUAACGUCCGGAAACGGGCGCUAAUACCGCAUACGUCCUGAGGGAGAAAGUGGGGGAUCUUCGGACCUCACGCUAUCAGAUGAGCCUAGGUCGGAUUAGCUAGUUGGUGGGGUAAAGGCCUACCAAGGCGACGAUCCGUAACUGGUCUGAGAGGAUGAUCAGUCACACUGGAACGGAGACAGGGUGAGGGGUACGCCGAGACGCAUCAGGGGGGAAGAGUGGACAAUGGGCGAGACCCUGAGCCAGCCAUGCGGAGUGGGGGAAGAAGGUCAUCGAAUUGUAAAGCACUUUAACGUGGUAGGAAGGGCAGGAAGCUAAUACCUGGCUGCCUGGACGUGACCAACAGAACAAGGACCCGCUAACCUCGUC
Molecule: ribosomal RNA, 484 nt
Filed under: uncultured bacterium
Lineage: Bacteria
Description: partial 16S ribosomal RNA
Rfam family: Bacterial small subunit ribosomal RNA
Source: RNAcentral